GGGUUGACAUUCGGCUGGUCUUUCGGGACGACGGACAUUCCGUCCUGGAACCAUGGCCCAAUUUGUCCGUAACCUUGCGGAGAAAGUCCCAGUGCUGGUGAACGCUGCUAUGACUUAUUCGAAGCCUCGACUGGCCACAUUUUGGUCCUACGCCAAGGUUGAACUGGUUCCUCCAACCCCUGCUGAGAUCUCUAGAGCUAUUCAGAGCCUGAAAAAAAUAAUCAGUAGCACUCAAACUGGUAGCUUCAAACAGCUCACAGUUAAGGAAGCUGUGCUGAAUGGUUUGGUGGCCACUGAGGUGUGGAUGUGGUUUUAUGUCGGAGAGAUCAUAGGCAAGCAUGGCAUCAUUGGUUAUAAUGUUUGAAGACCAGUCUUUAACAUCUGACGAUAUUUGACUUGUUAUCUGUGUGUUUUUGGACCAUAUGUGAUCAGACUGCUAUCUGAUCAAAAUAAGAUUUGUCAAAAAAAAAAA
RNA transcript from Carlito syrichta (Philippine tarsier), 472 nucleotides. It is a transcript of the gene named ATP synthase subunit g, mitochondrial pseudogene, with no coding region annotated. The transcript has a single exon. Lineage: Eukaryota; Metazoa; Chordata; Mammalia; Primates; Tarsiidae. The record is from RefSeq and is a predicted model, not a curated record.